CUCUAGCAUGAAGUCAGACAAGUGAA
Molecule: ribosomal RNA, 26 nt
Filed under: Symbiodinium sp. Gt7
Lineage: Eukaryota; Dinophyceae; Suessiales; Symbiodiniaceae
Description: partial 28S ribosomal RNA
Source: RNAcentral